UCCCCUCAUCCGCAUCUCCGCCAGUCCCUCCAAACCGACUCCGGUGUGGCAGACACCCAGCAGCUGGUCUCCAUGGCCAAAAGGCUCCCGGGAGGCAGAUCCAGAAGUCCACAAAAAAAAAGCACCACAGAGGUCACGAAAGUGGCACCCCUUGUCACACAGUCCCAAAGGGUCCCGGACCAAAAGGCAAAAAAAUAUAAUAAGACAUGAAAACAAGAGGGAAACACAAAAGGAUGACACAAGAGCACAGAGCUCCUGCCUACAGCAGCCACUACAGCAGCGCCAUCUUGCUUCAAUGGAGAAAAGUGUACAACCUAAGUCGUCCAAAGUGUCGGAACACUUUACUUUAAAGACUUCAAAGAAGACAGUUUCCUGCAAAACGUGCAGCAUGGACGUCGCGUGGCACGGAAGGACAACAUUGCUUCGGGAGCAUCUGAAGAGCAGACAUGUUGGAACCAUGGAUGAAGGGUAGAACUCACGUGCGGGGCUGAUAAUGUGUCUGCGGCAGAUUUGAGAGAGAAAACGCACGGUUACCAAUUUGGAAAUGAACAUAACGGACAGAAAUAUCUCAGAAAGAACCAAGCCAGCAUUAGUGACUUGGUACAAAGGAAGGUGUGCACACCACAGCAGGGGGCUGCAUCGACUGAUGCUAUCCUGAAUAUGUUGCUAACUGACAUGAGGCCACUAUAAAUGGUGGAGGAUGAAGGUUUUAGACAAAUGAUUCAUGUCCUCAACCCUAGUUACACUCUUUCCUCGAGUACCCAUUUGACCAAACUGAUGGAGAGGAUGUACGAGCAGACAUUGCAAGCAGUGUAGACUGACAUAAAAGCCACCCAGAGUAAUUUGCUCUCACUCCUGAUUUGUGGACAGGUGUAGCCCAUCUAUCCAUCCAUUUUCUACCGCUUAUUCCCUUUGGGAUCGCGGGGGGCGCUGGUACCUAUCUCAUAUACGAUCGGGCGGAAGGCGGGGUACACCCUGGAAAAGUCGCCACCUCAUCGCAGCAAGCUUACCUUGGCAAUACAUGCCGUUACAUUGGAGAAGAAUGCAACAUGAAGUCAAUCUGCCUUACGAUCAUGCCACUAGAGGAAAGACAUUUCGCAUCAAACAUUGCAGAGUGGUUGUAAUAAGUAGUAGCCAAGUUUGAAAUUCCCCCGAGCAAAAUUAUUGCUAUUGUGCAGGACAAUGGUACACUUUAUAAAAAAAAAAAAAAAACAUUUUUGUAACAUUUGCCUUAUUUUAUUUGGCAAGUUGGAAGAACCUGGUGCUAGUAUGCGUUCUUUUUCCCCCAAUAAAAUACUGGAAAGGAUAGAAAUGUAGUUUGUCUCUUUUAUCCGAUUAUCCAUCAAUUAAUCGAAGUAAUAAUAGACGGAUUAAUCGAUUAUCAAAUUAGUUGUUAGUUGCAGCCCUAGAUAAAUCAUUACAGCUCACUGUAACUGCAAGUUUCGGCCGUGCUCCCUUGUUGUUGUUAUUGAUGCAUGCCUUGUUACGAGUAUGUGUGGUUUUUCCAUAUUUUUCCUUUUUCAAAAUAUACCUAUAUAUCUCGACGAUAUGUACAGUAUGUGCUGUAAGCUUCAUUUAUGAUUGUUACUUUUGAUAAAAGCUUAAAUCUUGUAGGUUUAGCUCAUAUUCGCUUUUUUAUUUUCAGACUAGCUGAGUUGGUGGUUUACAGAAAAUUGGUUGCAAAAAUGCGUUUUAGGAACAAGAUAAAGCAGAAAUAAUAUCAGGAUAAUACUUAAAUGGGAAAUGGUAAACGUUAAAUAUAUAUCAAAUAAACCUUUAAAAAAGUGAUCACUACAAAUGUGUGUAGUUCUCGUCGUCCUAAGCCAAGGGCGUAGAAUUGGGUAGGGACGCUAGGGACACGUCCCUACCAAUAUCCAGCCGCAACUGUGUAGUCACUUUCAAUACAACCGCUGCCCUUAAUGUUUAGUCAAUGAUUAUGGCACAGAAAGGGUUAAAUGUCGGUCUCUGCCAGAAGUCCCGCCUCUAACCUAAAUAUCCCUCCCUGAUUGGUUACCGCUUUCAAGCUAACUUACGUGUGAUUGGCUCUCCCCGCUGUCACUCCUCACUGUGGAAAAAACAGUCCCACCUAUCCAGACCUUAGCUCCAAAUUAGCACUGCAUCUCGACUUUUCCUCCGCUUUUUUUCCAGGUGAAAGUCAAUGCUCAGUCCCCUUUACCAUUGUUAACCCUCCCCGUAGGUGAAAGUUAACCUUAAACAUGUGAAUUCAACUACUUUAGUCCGUUUUUUAACAUCGUAAAAAAGUCAGCUGUCUCUUUCUACGGACUGCAACAGUCCGUUGUCAUGGAUACAUGACAACAACUUCCAUUCAUAGCAGUCAUACGUACCUGAGGCGGAGUGAUAGCCUACGCUGUGAUAAGGCUUUAGAAUAGUAGCCGUGCUCAAUAUUUAAACCACGGUUGACAGCCAAUCAGAUCGCCGGAUUUCACCUUUCCGUUUUAUUUUUUUAUUUUUUUUUAGUUUCAUGUAACAUAUUUACAUUUCAAAAGCAGCGAUAGAAAGAAGUAGAUGAAGGGAAAAAUGUGAGUGAUUUAAACACAAGUUGGGGAAAAGAUUAUUACAGUUCAUUUAUGUUUAUUUACAGUGUUGUAUUGCAUGAAUGUAUUUCUGAUUUUGUUGAUGGACAGUAGGCUAUGUUCAUUGACAGUAUGAUGCACAGUUGCACUACAGAGUAAAAAUGAGAACUCUUCCAAGUUGUCUCCUUUGCUUUCAUUUUAGUUACUUUACCUUAUAACAUCUGCAUGACGUGAAAUUAUGAUUGCUAAUGUUAAAAAAAAAAAAAAAAAAAGUUAACUUUCAGAGUGCGGCCUUGGAGCACUUUUGUGUCCCCACCAAUCUCAAAAUCAAACCUACUCCCUUGUCCGAAGCUCUUUCGCCCUUCUUGAUUACGUCUUGAGGAACUCUGAAGAAACGUGUAUCCUUUUCGCAAUUUGAACGGUUCCAACAGCCUAAAACAAUGCAUGCAUCCGGAAUUUUUCUUUGAGAAAGGCAAAGUGCCGCCGAGAACACCGUGACAACAGACACUCGCUUGACCACCACCUUUAGUCCCGCAUACCUGUUAAUGAGCCAGACGUGCUGUCAGGUAAAUAAAACCUAUUUCAUGUUUAAAAGGCUCCAAUGAUGUUUUAAAAAUAUAGACGUCUUGUCAGGUAAAUAAAACCUAUUUCAUGUUUAAAAGGCUCCAAUAAUGUUUUAUAAAUAUAUUUAGGAGCUCAUAAACAUAUAUUUUAUGCUUUCACUAAAAUAUACAAUUGAUUGAUAAUAAUCCUACU
Long non-coding RNA from Nerophis ophidion (straightnose pipefish), 3290 nucleotides. RefSeq lists it as uncharacterized. NCBI's taxonomy places the organism in Eukaryota, Metazoa, Chordata, Actinopteri, Syngnathiformes, Syngnathidae. The transcript is spliced from 3 exons. The record is from RefSeq and is a predicted model, not a curated record.